CCAUCCUAAUUAGUGAUUCAUAGGUCUAAUAGAUUUGUUCAUGCUCGAUUUGUUAAAUUCCUCUAUAUAACCAUCAAUUAAAUCUGACCCAAUUAUUUUGAACCAAAUUUAAGCUUUUUUGUAGUUAUGUCAAAUGACCUUAUAGAUCGGGCUCAAAUUUGAAUCACAACCUCCUCUUGGUCUAGGAGAAAUAUUUUGUGCACCGCGGACGGUGCAGCUUCGUGCACACCACUCAUGGUGAUUGGCUCCCAUGCGAGAUCGGUGAAAAAAAUAUUUUUUUUCCCACGCUGUGUCUGGCCCCGUGCGUGAGCCAAUCAUCGCGGGUGGUGCAUACGAGUUACACUGCUCAUGGUGCACAAAGUAUUCUCCUUAGUCUAGAUGUCCCA
RNAcentral lists this long non-coding RNA (386 nucleotides) under Elaeis guineensis (African oil palm). Its description in RNAcentral is "long non-coding RNA (EGUI_LNC034295)". The record is from RNAcentral. Lineage: Eukaryota; Viridiplantae; Streptophyta; Magnoliopsida; Arecales; Arecaceae.